UUCCCUGGUUACAGUGGAGUGGGGAACUUCCCUGGUCACAGUGGGGAACUUCCCUGGUUACAGUGGAGUGGGGAACUUCCCUGGUCACAGUGGAGUUCCCUUGUCUAUGUUAUAUAACAAAUGUCGCGCAACGAUAAAUGAACUGUUUUACAUGCUGAUUCAAAUUUAGGCAAAACCAUUGGGCCGAAAUCUUCUCCUCCUCCAUAUCCCCCCUUUGACGAAUGGCUCCCUCCAUGAGCCAAUCGGCAAAUAGUAGAGAUCAUGGUUGAUGGUAAACAGGGCAUGCCAGACAGAAGAUGUAGCCCUAAGACAGACCUAUUAUUGCUCUCCAAACCCCACACCAUGCUGAGUCUGAGUAGACAGUAAGGGCCUUCCCUUCCCCCAAUUCACAAGCUGUAUUCAGAGCUAAUCAAUCUGCCUGUUGCGCUGAUAAGCAUUUUCAGCUCUGGGUGAGUGGUACUGUGGCUGAUAAGCAUUUUCAGCUCUGGGUGAGUGGUACGGUGGCUGAGGAGCAUGUCCAGCUCCAGGUGAGUGGUACUGUGGCUGAGGAGCAUGUCCAGCUCCAGGUGAGUGGUACUGUGGCUGAGGAGCAUAUUAUUACCAUGGCGGGUAGUACACACCAAUAUGUGCAUUAGCAAAGCUUCCUCUUCCUCUGCCCCUAUUGAAACCUCUUCCUCUUUCAUUCACUGUGAACUCACGUGCCCCAACUGCCCACAGGACCAGCGUUGAGUGUUGUUCCAGUCACAAAGUGCCAUGGCGGGCCAACCUCCUCUUCCUGUCCAUGUCUGUG
Long non-coding RNA from Oncorhynchus tshawytscha (Chinook salmon), 790 nucleotides. The record is from Ensembl. NCBI's taxonomy places the organism in Eukaryota, Metazoa, Chordata, Actinopteri, Salmoniformes, Salmonidae.